Molecule: ribosomal RNA, 253 nt
Filed under: uncultured bacterium
Lineage: Bacteria
Description: partial 16S ribosomal RNA
Rfam family: Bacterial small subunit ribosomal RNA
Source: RNAcentral
UACGAAGGGGGCUAGCGUUGCUCGGAAUCACUGGGCGUAAAGGGUGCGUAGGCGGGUUUUUAAGUCAGGGGUGAAAUCCUGGAGCUCAACUCCAGAACUGCCUUUGAUACUGAAGAUCUUGAGUCCGGGAGAGGUGAGUGGAACUGCGAGUGUAGAGGUGAAAUUCGUAGAUAUUCGCAAGAACACCAGUGGCGAAGGCGGCUCACUGGCCCGGUACUGACGCUGAGGCACGAAAGCGUGGGUAGCAAACGGG